CUCAUUGUAAGAUACUUUCGAAGAGUCGAGUUGUUUGGGAAUGCAGCUCUAAGUGGGAGGUAAAUUCCUUCUAAAGCUAAAUAUUGACGAGAGACCGAUAGCGAACAAGUACUGUGAAGGAAAGAUGAAAAGCACUUUGAAAAGAGAGUGAAAAAGUACGUGAAAUUGUUAAAAGGGAAGGGUAUUGAAUCAGACUUGGUGCUGUUGUUCAACUGUGUUUNGGCACNGUGUACUCAGCAGUACUAGGCCAAGGUGGGGUGUUUGGGAGUGAAAAAGAAGUUGGAACGUAACUCUUUCGGAGUGUUAUAGCCUACUUUCAUAGCUCCUCAGGCGCCUCAGGACUGCGCUUCGGCAAGGACCUUGGCAUAAUGAUUCUAUACCGCC
This 384-nucleotide ribosomal RNA is filed under the name Geotrichum candidum. Its description in RNAcentral is "partial large subunit ribosomal RNA". It matches the Rfam family "Eukaryotic large subunit ribosomal RNA", at positions 240 to 649 of the family's 3401-position model. Lineage: Eukaryota; Fungi; Ascomycota; Dipodascomycetes; Dipodascales; Dipodascaceae. The record is from RNAcentral.